This 283-nucleotide long non-coding RNA is filed under the name Carica papaya (papaya). RNAcentral's name for it is "long non-coding RNA (CPAP_LNC007848)". The record is from RNAcentral. Lineage: Eukaryota; Viridiplantae; Streptophyta; Magnoliopsida; Brassicales; Caricaceae.
CCCUGGAAACUGAUUAUGAAUGUUAAAGGUUAACGGGUAGCGGGACCCCCAUGGAUACUAGUAGGCUGGUAAAUGAGAAAAGGAUAUGUUGUAUAAUGAUUGAAUUACAAAAGGCGUGAUAAGUGCUAUGUUUUACAGCUUAUAUUAUUCCAUGAUUGUGAUAAUGUUAUUGUUUUCUUAUAUUGUUUCAUGAAUUCUACCGAGGUAAGUGGAUGGUAAAGGUUUUAUCAUAAAUAAAAGGAUUUGUUGCAAAUCAUGCUCCAUUGGUCUUUUGUGUUUUUCU